UAAUAUGUUUCCAAGGACUGUGGCUGGUACUAGCCAUGGGAUCUCCAACUGCAUGUAAGAACAACCUGGAGAGAUAUUCCUGGAAGA
This is a small nucleolar RNA of Erinaceus europaeus (western European hedgehog), 87 nucleotides long. The record is from Ensembl. NCBI's taxonomy places the organism in Eukaryota, Metazoa, Chordata, Mammalia, Eulipotyphla, Erinaceidae.